CAAUAGCGUAUAUUAAAGUUGUUGCGGUUAAAAAGCUCGUAGUUGGAUUUCGAUCGGGAACUGGUGGUCCAUCUUUUGGAUGUGCAUCUACAUAGGUCUUGGUCUCCUCUCGAAAAACGUUUCUGCGCUUGAUUGCGUGGUGCGGUGUUCGGGACUUUUACUUUGAGGAAAUUAGAGUGUUCACGGCAGGCAUACGCCUUGAAUAUAUUAGCAUGGAAUAAUAAGAUAGGACCUUGGUUCUAUUUUGUUGGUUUCUAAGGCCGAGGUAAUGAUUAAUAGGGAUAGUUGGGGGCGUUUAUAUUCCGUUGUCAGAGGUGAAAUUCUUGGAUUUACGGAAGAUAAACUACUGCGAAAGCAUUCGCCAAGGAUGUUUUCAUUAAUCAAGAACGAAAGUUAGGGGAUCGAAGACGAUUAGAUACCAU
Molecule: ribosomal RNA, 422 nt
Filed under: uncultured eukaryote
Lineage: Eukaryota
Description: bacterial SSU rRNA
Rfam family: Eukaryotic small subunit ribosomal RNA
Source: RNAcentral